UUAAGACGCGGCGUUCCCUGCAGUCCUAAACUAAAUGCUGCGUGUAUUUGUCGAUUUGGGAUGGCCGACAUGGGAUGAAGGAAGAUUUAGCCGCCUUCAGAGGACUGUGCCCGCUGAAGAUGUCCUUCCUGAUGGAAAGACUGCUGGUGUGGGGAAGAGACACGCAGCCUUGAAAGCAGAGAUACGGAACUCACCUGGCCCACGGAGGCUCCGUAACCUGCCUGCAUGGCCACCUGGGGAUUCCCUGGAGGCCAGGCCGCCUGGAGGAUCCCCUGGAGUUAACAGCAGGGACAUGGGCUGAAUAGGACUUGGCUGCUGGUGGCAGGGAAGAAGCUGCUCCUUCCGGCACUGGCCAAGCCUUCCUUUGCAAGCUUCGUGACGAGUCCUCCCUGGCGGGAGAGGCACGGAUCCUGACGGCUCCUGACAGCUGGGGUGGUGACACUGCUGGGCGCACGAUCUGGCCUGCAGAAGACCUGGCAGUCUAAACCAGCUCUGCACCUCUGCUUCAGGAAAUAAUUCACCUUCGGAAGACAGAUAAGGCACAGUGCGAGGAGAAAAUACCAAAAAUGGCAGAGAAAGGAAAAUUACAGCCAGUGGUUGCAAGAGGGUGAUUAUUUUGGAAGAAACCUCCAAAUCGGCCCAGGAAAUACAGGAAAGAAAGAUGGGAAAGGGGAGGCUCCAACGUGUGUUUUUACUUCCAAGAAAUGCCAAUAAAAGGACGAGAAUG
Molecule: long non-coding RNA, 727 nt
Organism: Varanus komodoensis (Komodo dragon)
Lineage: Eukaryota; Metazoa; Chordata; Lepidosauria; Squamata; Varanidae
Exons: 2
Source: RefSeq, a predicted model, not a curated record